CACCCCAAUUACCAUUGUCAAUUGCAAAAACAAAAAGAAACCUAACAUCCCCUUCAAUCUUCCCCACGCAUGUUACGAUCUCCCCACACAUAACGUCUUCGCUAUCAAGAGCAGCAAAACUGUUUUCCCUGGACACACUCCAACCUCCAUCCUUCUUUAGUUAUGUCACGUUCAGAGGGGAGUUCAACGGUAGCACCCAAGCAUGGCGGAGAUUAUGCAUUGCGUUGUGCCGUAGUUGGAAGGUAUGUCUUAGAUGGAGAAGCCCUUGGCACAAAGAUCUGUUGUGGCCCGUUAAUUUCCCAUUGAUUUGGUGAGCUAUUGAGAAGAAUGGAGUUUUCUAUGAUUUGGUGAGGAAUAUUUUCCCUUGCAAUGUCUAGAACCGAUUGCUGCUCAAACCAAAUUGUUGCAGUGCAUGGAAGGAUACAAAGUCAUAGAAGGAUACAAUGCCAGAUAUAGAUGAUACACAAGAAAGAUGCAAAUGGAUACAUUUGGAUUUAGCUGGUUCGAGUAUUAUGAUGUGGCUGGAGCAAUCCACUUGAUUCAUUAUAGUGGUUGAUUCAUUGCAGUGAUUCUUCAGCAGCUGAGUAACAAGCUGUUCCUGGGUUCAGAUUGUCAGUUGUCUUGCUGGUAGGCCUCCAUCGGCUGGUGGCCUCAUUGCUAUUUUAUUUCUCUUGAUUCUAGUUAUCUGCAGCUACAGGGAGUCAUAGGUGAAUUUAGUUUGGGGUUGACGGUAUCUUUUAAUUUUAAAGGUUGACAUUGAACGUCGAAUUUUGGUUUUGUACCUUUUCUUGAAAUUUUGAAUUUUGGAGAAUAUUAUUUAACAGGUUAUGUUAUUUUGAGAUUACUGAAAUACAGAGGAGACGUUGUCGUUUU
Long non-coding RNA from Lotus japonicus, 873 nucleotides. RefSeq lists it as uncharacterized. The record is from RefSeq and is a predicted model, not a curated record. The transcript has 3 exons. NCBI's taxonomy places the organism in Eukaryota, Viridiplantae, Streptophyta, Magnoliopsida, Fabales, Fabaceae.